UCCCUGGUGGUCCACUGGCUAAGACUCUGCACUCCCAAUGCAGGGGCCCUGGGUUCAAUCCCUGGUCGGGGAA
This 73-nucleotide transfer RNA is filed under the name Capra hircus (goat). It matches the Rfam family "tRNA". Rfam says of the family: Transfer RNA (tRNA) molecules are approximately 80 nucleotides in length. Their secondary structure includes four short double-helical elements and three loops (D, anti-codon, and T loops). Lineage: Eukaryota; Metazoa; Chordata; Mammalia; Artiodactyla; Bovidae. RNAcentral also lists the same sequence under 1 other name. The record is from Rfam by way of RNAcentral.